GACGAACGCUGGCGGCGUGCUUAACACAUGCAAGUCGAACGGAAAGGCCCCUUUGGGGGUACUCGAGUGGCGCACGGGUGAGUAACACGUGAGUAACCUGCCCUUGACUUCGGGAUAACUUCAGGAAACUGGGGCUAAUACCGGAUAGGAAUCCUUGCUGCAUGGUGGGGGUUGGAAAGCUUCGGCGGUUUUGGAUGGACUCGCGGCUUAUCAGCUUGUUGGUGGGGUAGUGGCUUACCAAGGCUUUGACGGGUAGCCGGCCUGAGAGGGCGACCGGCCACAUUGGGACUGAGAUACGGCCCAGACUCCUACGGGAGGCAGCAGUGGGGAAUAUUGCACAAUGGGCGGAAGCCUGAUGCAGCAACGCCGCGUGCGGGAUGACGGCCUUCGGGUUGUAAACCGCUUUCAGCAGGGGCGAAGCCUGUGGUGACGGUACCUGCAGAAGAAGCACCGGCUAACUACGUG
RNAcentral lists this ribosomal RNA (465 nucleotides) under uncultured bacterium. RNAcentral's name for it is "partial 16S ribosomal RNA". It matches the Rfam family "Bacterial small subunit ribosomal RNA", at positions 28 to 507 of the family's 1533-position model. The record is from RNAcentral.